UCUGCAGCUAACUUCUCAAGAACGAGCAUCAUGAGGCCCCGGGAAAAUUCAAGCUGAAAGAAACAUGUAAGCAGGAGAGUAUCUCCAGCUCUAUAUCUGUUCCAGGGCAGAUGUGCCCUAAGCGCCAGAGAAAGCGAAAGGCCACAGCAGCUUCCUGACAAAGAAGGUAAGAGUGACAAGAUUCGCAAUGGCUGCGGCGUCUCUUUCCACACCACCCUGGUGUGCUGAGAUACACUGUUUCCUCUGUAGUAUCUGUUUCCAUGUGCAGGCUAUUCCCUUUUGGUAACUCAUGGAAUCCUUCCAGCAGAAGGUUAGGAAACUCGGUAUAAUGGUAGCUGCGAGCGUGCCACUGUGGGGUCCCUAGGCUCCCUGCUGCCCAACAUGCUUGACUCCACUCAGUCCACAGUGUGAAUUAUUCCGCAGACAGGGCUUAAUCUCCCUAGGUUUGAGUAGCACCUACAGAUUACAAAAAAAAAAAAAAAAAAAAAGAUAA
Molecule: long non-coding RNA, 493 nt
Organism: Panthera uncia (snow leopard)
Lineage: Eukaryota; Metazoa; Chordata; Mammalia; Carnivora; Felidae
Exons: 2
Source: RefSeq, a predicted model, not a curated record